Molecule: ribosomal RNA, 465 nt
Filed under: Vreelandella stevensii
Lineage: Bacteria; Pseudomonadati; Pseudomonadota; Gammaproteobacteria; Oceanospirillales; Halomonadaceae
Description: partial 16S ribosomal RNA
Rfam family: Bacterial small subunit ribosomal RNA
Source: RNAcentral
CCUACGGGGGGCUGCAGUGGGGAAUAUUGGACAAUGGGGGCAACCCUGAUCCAGCCAUGCCGCGUGUGUGAAGAAGGCCCUCGGGUUGUAAAGCACUUUCAGUGAGGAAGAACGCCUGGUGGUUAAUACCCAUCAGGAAAGACAUCACUCACAGAAGAAGCACCGGCUAACUCCGUGCCAGCAGCCGCGGUAAUACGGAGGGUGCGAGCGUUAAUCGGAAUUACUGGGCGUAAAGCGCGCGUAGGUGGCUUGAUAAGCCGGUUGUGAAAGCCCCGGGCUCAACCUGGGAACGGCAUCCGGAACUGUCAAGCUAGAGUGCAGGAGAGGAAGGUAGAAUUCCCGGUGUAGCGGUGAAAUGCGUAGAGAUCGGGAGGAAUACCAGUGGCGAAGGCGGCCUUCUGGACUGAAACUGCCACUGAGGUGCGAAAGCGUGGGUAGCAAACAGGAUUAGAUACCCUGGUAGUC